GGCGUAAAGGGCUCGCAGGCGGUUUCUUAAGUCUGAUGUGAAAGCCCCCGGCUCAACCGGGGAGGGUCAUUGGAAACUGGGAAACUUGAGUGCACAAGAGGAGAGUGGAAUUCCACGUGUAGCGGUGAAAUGCGUAGAGAUGUGGAGGAACACCAGUGGCGAAGGCGACUCUCUGGUCUGUAACUGACGCUGAGGAGCGAAAGCGUGGGGAGCGAACAGGAUUAGAUACCCUGGUAGUCCACGCCGUAAACGAUGAGUGCUAAGUGUUAGGGGGUUUCCGCCCCUUAGUGCUGCAGCUAACGCAUUAAGCACUCCGCCUGGGGAGUACGGUCGCAAGACUGAAACUCAAAGGAAUUGACGGGGGCCCGCACAAGCGGUGGAGCAUGUGGUUUAAUUCGAAGCAACGCGAAGAACCUUACCAGGUCUUGACAUCCUCUGACAACCCUAGAGAUAGGGCUUUCCCUUCGGGGACAGAGUGACAGGUGGUGCAUGGUUGUCGUCAGCUCGUGUCGUGAGAUGUUGGGUUAAGUCCCGCAACGAGCGCAACCCUUGAUCUUAGUUGCCAGCAUUCAGUUGGGCACUCUAAGGUGACUGCCGGUGACAAACCGGAGGAAGGUGGGGAUGACGUCAAAUCAUCAUGCCCCUUAUGACCUGGGCUACACACGUGCUACAAUGGACAGAACAAAGGGCUGCAAGACCGCAAGGUUUAGCCAAUCCCAUAAAUCUGUUCUCAGUUCGGAUCGCAGUCUGCAACUCGACUGCGUGAAGCUGGAAUCGCUAGUAAUCGCGGAUCAGCAUGCCGCGGUGAAUACGUUCC
Molecule: ribosomal RNA, 817 nt
Filed under: Bacillus pumilus
Lineage: Bacteria; Bacillati; Bacillota; Bacilli; Caryophanales; Bacillaceae
Description: bacterial SSU rRNA
Rfam family: Bacterial small subunit ribosomal RNA
Source: RNAcentral